AAUUAAUUUUCCAGGCAUUGAUGAGCACCAUACAUAUGUAACCGAUGUGAAAUGGCUAGCUAGUUAGCGGGGCGCGCACUAAUAGCGUUUCAAUCGGUGAUGUCACUCGCUCUGAGACCUUGAAGUAAUUGUUACCCUUGCUCUGCAAGGGUCGCGGCUUUUGUGGAGCGAUGGGUAACGAUGCGUCGAGGGUGGCUGUUGUCUAUGUGUGCAGAGGAUCUCUGGUUCGAGCCCAGACUCUCAGCGCUCUCCGAGUGCACCGGUUUGAGUGUAUCAAGAACUACAACGCUACUGGGUUUUUCAUGCUCAACAGUUUCCCGUAUUUAUCAAGAAUGGUCCACCACCCAAACAACAUCCAGCCAACUUGACACAACUGGGAGAAGCAUUGGAGUCAACAUGGGCCAGCGUCCCUAUGGAAUGCUUUCAACACCUUGUUGAGUCCAUGCCUCAAAGAAUUUAGGCUGUUCUGAGGGCAAAAGGGGGUGCAACAUUAUAUUUGGAAGGUGUUCCUAAUGGUUUGUACAUUCUGUGUAUACUAUUGUGGAUUAUAUUGAUGCCACAAUAAUAAAGACAAAGAAAAACAUUUUUCCAAGUUAUGGAUAAGUAAGUCAUUGUCACUUGCCACAUAAACAUUUUUCACAACAGCUUUUUCACUUUAGUAUGUGGCCCAUGUGCAUCUAUACAUUUUUUUGU
RNAcentral lists this long non-coding RNA (693 nucleotides) under Salmo salar (Atlantic salmon). RNAcentral's name for it is "lncRNA (ENSSSAG00000090387.1, ENSSSAG00000120930.1)". Lineage: Eukaryota; Metazoa; Chordata; Actinopteri; Salmoniformes; Salmonidae. The record is from RNAcentral.